Molecule: ribosomal RNA, 105 nt
Filed under: uncultured bacterium
Lineage: Bacteria
Description: partial 16S ribosomal RNA
Rfam family: Bacterial small subunit ribosomal RNA
Source: RNAcentral
UAACGUUCCCAGGCCUUGUACACACCGCCCGUCACAUCAUGAAAGCCGGUUGUACCCGAAGUCGCCCUUUAAAAGGUGCCGAAGGUAUGGCUGGUGAUUGGGAUG